AGAGUUUGAUCAUGGCUCAGAUUGAACGCUGGCGGAAUGCUUUACGCAUGCAAGUCGAACGGCAGCACGGACUUCGGUCUGGUGGCGAGUGGCGAACGGGUGAGUAAUAUAUCGGAACGUAUCCAAUAAUGGGGGAUAACUAAUCGAAAGGUUGGCUAAUACCGCAUACGCCCUACGGGGGAAAGCUAGGGACCUUCGGGCCUGGCGUUAAUGGAGCGGCCGAUAUCUGAUUAGCUAGUUGUGAGGUAAGAGCUCACCAAGGCGACGAUCAGUAGCUGGUCUGAGAGGACGACCAGCCACACUGGAACUGAGACACGGUCCAGACUCCUACGGGAGGCAGCAGUGGGGAAUUUUGGACAAUGGGCGCAAGCCUGAUCCAGCCAUUCCGCGUGAGUGAAGAGGGCCUUCGGGUUGUAAAGCUCUUUCGCAAGGGAAGAAAACUUAGUUACUAAUAUUAACUGAGGUUGACGGUACCUUGAUAAGAAGCACCGGCUAACUACGUGCCAGCAGCCGCGGUAAUACGUAGGGUGCGAGCGUUAAUCGGAAUUACUGGGCGUAAAGCGUGCGCAGGCUGUUUUGUAAGUCAGAUGUGAAAUCCCCGAGCUCAACUUGGGAACUGCGUUUGAAACUACAAGACUAGAAUAUGUCAGAGGGGGGUAGAAUUCCUCGUGUAGCAGUGAAAUGCGUAGAGAUGUGGAGGAAUAUCAAUGGCGAAGGCAGCCCCCUGGGAUAAUAUUGACGCUCAUGCACGAAAGCGUGGGGAGCAAACAGGAUUAGAUACCCUGGUAGUCCACGCCCUAAACGAUGUCUACUAGUUGUUGGUGGAGUAAAAUCCAUGAGUAACGCAGCUAACGCGUGAAGUAGACCGCCUGGGGAGUACGGUCGCAAGAUUAAAACUCAAAUGAAUUGACGGGGGCCCGCACAAGCGGUGGAUUAUGUGGAUUAAUUCGAUGCAACGCGAAAAACCUUACCUGGCCUUGACAUGUACCGAAUUUACCAGAGAUGGUUUAGUGCUCGAAAGAGAACGGUAACACAGGUGCUGCAUGGCUGUCGUCAGCUCGUGUCGUGAGAUGUUGGGUUAAGUCCCGCAACGAGCGCAACCCUUGCCAAUAAUUGCCAUCAUUUAGUUGGGCACUUUAUUGGGACUGCCGAUGACAAAUCGGAGGAAGGUGGGGAUGACGUCAAGUCCCCAUGGCCCUUAUGGCCAGGGCUUCACACGUAAUACAAUGGUCGGUACAGAGGGUUGCCAAGCCGCAAGGUGGAGCCAAUCCCAGAAAGCCGAUCGUAGUCCGGAUUGAGGUCUGCAACUCGACCUCAUGAAGUCGGAAUCGCUAGUAAUCGCGGAUCAGCAUGUCGCGGUGAAUACGUUCCCGGGCCUUGUACACACCGCCCGCCACACCAUGGGAGUGGGUUUUACCAGAAGUAGGUAGUCUAACCGCAAGGAGGACGCUUACCACGGUAGUAUUCAUGACUGGGGUGAAGUCGAAACAAGGUA
This 1495-nucleotide ribosomal RNA is filed under the name metagenome. Its description in RNAcentral is "bacterial SSU rRNA". It matches the Rfam family "Bacterial small subunit ribosomal RNA". The record is from RNAcentral.